ACGGGAGGCAGCAGUGGGGAAUAUUGGGCAAUGGGCGCAAGCCUGACCCAGCGACGCCGCGUGAGGGAAGAAGGUCUUCGGAUUGUAAACCUCUUUCAGCAGGGAAGACCAAGAGAUGGUACCUGCAGAAGAAGUCACGGCUAACUACGUGCCAGCAGCCGCGGUAAUACGUAGGUGGCGAGCGUUAUCCGGAAUUACUGAGUGUAAAGGGUGUGUAGGCGGAGAGGCAAGUCAGGCGUGAAAUACGUGGGCUCAACCCACGAACUGCGCUUGAAGCUGUUUCACUUGAGAGUGGGAGAGGUAAACGGAAUUCCUGGUGUAGUAGUGAAAUGCGUAGAUAUCAGGAGGAACACCGGUGGCGAAGGUGGUUUACUGGACCACAACUGACGCUGAGACACGAAAGCGUGGGGAGCAAACAGGAUUAGAUACCCUGGUA
RNAcentral lists this ribosomal RNA (436 nucleotides) under uncultured Oscillospiraceae bacterium. Its description in RNAcentral is "bacterial SSU rRNA". It matches the Rfam family "Bacterial small subunit ribosomal RNA", at positions 341 to 792 of the family's 1533-position model. The record is from RNAcentral. Lineage: Bacteria; Bacillati; Bacillota; Clostridia; Eubacteriales; Oscillospiraceae.